RNAcentral lists this unclassified non-coding RNA (320 nucleotides) under plant metagenome. Its description in RNAcentral is "partial contains 5.8S ribosomal RNA, internal transcribed spacer 2, and large subunit ribosomal RNA". The stretch from base 1 to 105 matches the Rfam family "5.8S ribosomal RNA", at positions 50 to 154 of the family's 154-position model. The record is from RNAcentral.
GAAAUGCGAUAAGUAAUGUGAAUUGCAGAAUUCAGUGAAUCAUCGAAUCUUUGAACGCACAUUGCGCCCGCCAGUAUUCUGGCGGGCAUGCCUGUUCGAGCGUCAUUACAACCCUCAGGCCCCCGUGCCUGGCGUUGGGGAUCGGCGGAAGCCCCCUGCGGGCACAACGCCGUCCCCCAAAUACAGUGGCGGUCCCGCCGCAGCUUCCAUUGCGUAGUAGCUAACACCUCGCAACUGGAGAGCGGCGCGGCCACGCCGUAAAACACCCAACUUCUGAAUGUUGACCUCGAAUCAGGUAGGAAUACCCGCUGAACUUAAGC